AAAAUGUAGGACCUACAAUGCCUAUUUAUAUUCUCUAUUCCUAAUACCACCUGUAGAUGGCGCCAUAGCUUUUGGACAUUCUUGGGUUUCUCUGCAGCUAAAGAAUGGACUUCAACAAUUUAUUUAUUUAUUUUUGUGUGUAAAUUGAUGCAAACCUAGGAUGACAAUGUUAUACAUGUAUACACGGAAAAACAUAAAAUAAAAAAUAUUUGGAAGAUUUAUGACGUUGAUGACCGUUGAAACGCACGUCGUCAUCACGUCAGGCCAGCUGUGAGGGAGGGAAGUCGAAGCAGGUCGAGAAAGUUGGCGCUUUUAUCAGAUCGUUUGUUUGGAGUCUCUGUUUGUUCCAACCAUUGUGUUCCUUCAUGCUCCUCCAGAGACUACUAUCCAGAUUGUCCGUGCCAGUGUUGUGACUCUUGCAUCUUUCACCGUGUGAUGUUGUCCGGGGCCCGAGGAGUUCUUACAAACAGAUUGAUGGCAACAAUGUACAUGGAUGGUUCAGGGGUAAAGAAGGCCUUUAAAAAACACGGCUAUGUUGUGUUAUAAUAGGUGGCAAUUGCAUCAGAGGGAGAAGACUUCACAGUGCCUCCCUAUACAUGGAUGUCAGCUGACGUCAAUCACUUGUCUUCCGCCAUUUUGAGGACCUGAAGUGGUUGCAAAAGAACUAGAAGCUAUGCCUUCAAUAUGUUGUGAGCAUCAAAAUCGCUAUUUUAACAACACUAAGAAGGCUCAACACAACAUGAUACUUUGCUCGAAGUAUCGCCUAUGUCUCUACACGUGAACUCGAGCAUUGAGAACAUUGUUUGUGAACACAGAGUUAACUAAAAAGAAGGUUUUGAACAACUCACUUUGGAUGAUUUGGCGUCCGCUCGCCGCUUUCUUCCCAGUCAAGAUGUAUCGAUCUCCAAUUGCGACGUAAGGAGGGAGGAGAGUAAAGAUGAUAUCUCCUAAAGCAUAGUUCCUUAAAAAUGCACGGAUAAGUCGUUGUUUUGUUGCAAGUGAAAAACAAUAUUGACCUUCUAGUUGAAAAAGGAGCCUUAUAUGAGAUUCAUUCAUUCGCAUUCGGAAAUCGAUUAUUUACGUCUGGCAGAGAUGACGAGCGGACACCAUAACAGCCAAAGUCAGUUGUACAAAACCUUUCUUUUUAGUAAACUCUGUGUACAAAAACAAUGUUCUCAAU
Long non-coding RNA from Paramisgurnus dabryanus, 1180 nucleotides. RefSeq lists it as uncharacterized. The record is from RefSeq and is a predicted model, not a curated record. NCBI's taxonomy places the organism in Eukaryota, Metazoa, Chordata, Actinopteri, Cypriniformes, Cobitidae.